GUAGGUGGCAAGCGUUGUCCGGAAUUAUUGGGCGUAAAGCGCGCGCAGGCGGUCCUUUAAGUCUGAUGUGAAAGCCCACGGGCUCAACCGUGGAGGGUCAUUGGAAACUGGGGGACUUGAGUACAGAAGAGGAAGGCGGAAUUCCAAGUGUAGCGGUGAAAUGCGUAGAGAUUUGGAGGAACACCAGUGGCGAAGGCGGCUUUCUGGUCUGUAACUGACGCUGAGGCGCGAAAGCGUGGGGAGCAAACAGGAUUAGAUACCCUGGUAGUCCACGCCGUAAACGAUGAGUGCUAAGUGUUAGGGGGUUUCCGCCCCUUAGUGCUGCAGCUAACGCAUUAAGCACUCCGCCUGGGGAGUACGGCCGCAAAGGCUGA
Molecule: ribosomal RNA, 374 nt
Filed under: uncultured organism
Description: partial 16S ribosomal RNA
Rfam family: Bacterial small subunit ribosomal RNA
Source: RNAcentral